This 301-nucleotide ribosomal RNA is filed under the name uncultured bacterium. RNAcentral describes it as "partial 16S ribosomal RNA". It matches the Rfam family "Bacterial small subunit ribosomal RNA", at positions 509 to 807 of the family's 1533-position model. The record is from RNAcentral.
CAGCCGCCGCGGGAAUACGAAGGGGGCUAGCGUUGCUCGGAAUGACUGGGCGUAAAGGGCGCGUAGGCGGCGGCCAAAGUCAGGCGUGAAAUUCCCGGGCUCAACCUGGGGGCUGCGUUUGAUACUUGGUUGCUUGAGUGGGGAAGAGGGUCGUGGAAUUCCCAGUGUAGAGGUGAAAUUCGUAGAUAUUGGGAAGAACACCGGUGGCGAAGGCGGCGGCCUGGUCCUUUACUGACGCUGAGGCGCGAAAGCGUGGGGAGCAAACAGGAUUAGAGACCCCCGUAGUCCCUGUCUCUUAUAC